This 203-nucleotide unclassified non-coding RNA is filed under the name Hevea brasiliensis (rubber tree). Lineage: Eukaryota; Viridiplantae; Streptophyta; Magnoliopsida; Malpighiales; Euphorbiaceae. The record is from RNAcentral.
GAGCUUGUUUUAACUGUGGAGGCACGGGCCAUCUUGUUAAGGACUGCACUAGUGCCCGUAGAUUUGGGCCAGCUCCUACCACUACAGAAAGAUCCAUUCAAAGUUCUGCUACCAGAGGUUCACAACCGGUUAACAGAGGUUGAGGCAGAGGUCGGGGCAGUACUUCUGACAGUUAGGGUACAGUAAACUAGUCAAAGCAAAGU